RNAcentral lists this ribosomal RNA (463 nucleotides) under uncultured bacterium. RNAcentral's name for it is "bacterial SSU rRNA". It matches the Rfam family "Bacterial small subunit ribosomal RNA", at positions 45 to 484 of the family's 1533-position model. The record is from RNAcentral.
GGCCUAACACAUGCAAGUCGAGCGGUAGCGGGCCUGACCACUCUCGAGUGGUUCAGGCGCCGACGAGCGGCGGACGGGUGCGUAACACGUAGGAAUCUGCCCGGUAGUGGGGGAUAGCCCGGAGAAAUUCGGAUUAAUACCGCAUACGCCCUAUGGGGGAAAGCAGGGGAUCGGUUCGCCGACCUUGCGCUAUCGGAUGAGCCUGCGUCGGAUUAGCUAGUUGGUGGGGUAAAGGCCUACCAAGGCGACGAUCCGUAGCUGGUCUGAGAGGAUGAUCAGCCACACUGGGACUGAGACACGGCCCAGACUCCUACGGGAGGCAGCAGUGGGGAAUAUUGCACAAUGGGCGAAAGCCUGAUGCAGCCAUGCCGCGUGUGUGAAGAAGGCCCUAGGGUUGUAAAGCACUUUCAGUGGGGAGGAAAGGUCGAAGGUUAAUACCCUUUGGCUGUGACGUUACCCACAG